Molecule: ribosomal RNA, 209 nt
Filed under: uncultured bacterium
Lineage: Bacteria
Description: partial 16S ribosomal RNA
Rfam family: Bacterial small subunit ribosomal RNA
Source: RNAcentral
CGGACUGUAGGCUGCAACUCGCCUACACGAAGCUGGAAUCGCUAGUAAUCGCGGAUCAGCACGCCGCGGUGAAUACGUUCCCGGGCCUUGUACACACCGCCCGUCACACCAUGAGAGUCUGUAACACCCAAAGCCGGUGGGAUAACCUUUAUAGGAGUCAGCCGUCUAAGGUAGGACAGAUGAUUAGGGUGAAGUCGUAACAAGGUACC